This 148-nucleotide unclassified non-coding RNA is filed under the name uncultured Capnodiaceae. RNAcentral's name for it is "sequence contains ITS2". The record is from RNAcentral. Lineage: Eukaryota; Fungi; Ascomycota; Dothideomycetes; Capnodiales; Capnodiaceae.
CACCAAUCAAGCCUCGCUUGGUAUUGGGCGAUGCGGCCUGCCCGCACGCCUCAAAUGCAACGGCCGAACGUGCUCUCCUCCGGCGUCGUGGAAACAUACCGCUACAGGGACGAGCGCGACUCGCGCCGCACAAGCCUAACAUUUCAAA